Molecule: ribosomal RNA, 99 nt
Filed under: Macrostomum lignano
Lineage: Eukaryota; Metazoa; Platyhelminthes; Macrostomidae
Source: RNAcentral
UCCUAUGUUCCCAUGCAUUGAAUCACCGAAGUUAAGCAACGUUGGGUUUGGUUAGUACUUGGAUGGGUGACCGCCUGGGAAUACCAAAUGCUGUUGUCU